CACGUAGGGACCGAGCGUUGUCCGGAUUUAUUGGGCGUAAAGAGCUCGUAGGCGGUUCAGCAAGUCGGGUGUGAAAACUCUGGGCUCAACCCAGAGACGCCACCCGAUACUGCUGUGACUAGAGUCCGGUAGGGGAGUGGGGAAUUCCUGGUGUAGCGGUGAAAUGCGCAGAUAUCAGGAGGAACACCGGUGGCGAAGGCGCCACUCUGGGCCGGCACUGACGCUGAGACGCGAAAGCGUGGGGAGCAAACAGG
RNAcentral lists this ribosomal RNA (254 nucleotides) under uncultured bacterium. Its description in RNAcentral is "partial 16S ribosomal RNA". It matches the Rfam family "Bacterial small subunit ribosomal RNA", at positions 524 to 776 of the family's 1533-position model. The record is from RNAcentral.